Oncorhynchus tshawytscha (Chinook salmon) is the source of this 547-nucleotide long non-coding RNA. The record is from Ensembl. NCBI's taxonomy places the organism in Eukaryota, Metazoa, Chordata, Actinopteri, Salmoniformes, Salmonidae.
GUUUGGAUGCGACAACAGUUUGGAUGCGACAACAGUUGGGUUCUGAAUAUGUCUCGAAAUAAUGUAUUAUAAUAAUAUAAGAUACUAAUGAUAAAUAACGACGACAAUUAUGGUUUUCUGUGAAUAUCUUCCAUAACGUUACUAUAGUUGAUUAAGAUCUUCUCAGAAAUGAAUCAAGUCCAUGGAAUGGAUAUAGACAAAACGAGAAUUCAAGAACUAGCAGAGGUAGAGAGGCAGGGGUGAGGACAUCAUCCUGCUAUUUUGACAGUCCCUGAAGGACAAUACAGAAGAGAUUUCACCGCUCUUCACUCCUUUACUGCACAUCGGCGGAAAUCCAUUUCACCAUGAGAGUGAAAUCCCGCUGGCCUUUGAUGGGGAGAACUUCCACGCCCUCGAGGACGUCUCCGUGGGACUUGGGGCUCUGCUAGGGCUGUAUUUUUUAUUUUCCCUUAAAUUUGCUAUUUUGUAAUGUGUUUUGUUUGGUAAAUUGUUUUGUAAAUAUUAAUUCACAUUUGUGGUGCCACUAAAUAAACAAUUAUUAUUUAAG